RNAcentral lists this ribosomal RNA (230 nucleotides) under uncultured soil bacterium. Its description in RNAcentral is "partial 16S ribosomal RNA". It matches the Rfam family "Bacterial small subunit ribosomal RNA", at positions 26 to 252 of the family's 1533-position model. The record is from RNAcentral.
AGAGUGAACGCUGGCGGUAGGCCUAACACAUGCAAGUCGAACGGCAGCACAGGAGAGCUUGCUCUCUGGGUGGCGAGUGGCGGACGGGUGAGGAAUACAUCGGAAUCUACCUUUUCGUGGGGGAUAACGUAGGGAAACUUACGCUAAUACCGCAUAAGACCUUCGGGUGAAAGCCGGGGACCUUCGGGCCUGGCGCGGAUAGAUGAGCCGAUGUCGGAUUAGCUUGUUGG